RNAcentral lists this ribosomal RNA (196 nucleotides) under uncultured bacterium. Its description in RNAcentral is "partial 16S ribosomal RNA". It matches the Rfam family "Bacterial small subunit ribosomal RNA", at positions 1305 to 1500 of the family's 1533-position model. The record is from RNAcentral.
CUGCAACUCGACUGCAUGAAGCUGGAAUCGCUAGUAAUCGCGGAUCAGAAUGCCGCGGUGAAUACGUUCCCGGGUCUUGUACACACCGCCCGUCACACCAUGGGAGUCAGUAACGCCCGAAGUCAGUGACCGAACCGAGAGGACGGAGCUGCCGAAGGCGGGACGGAUAACUGGGGUGAAGUCGUAACAAGGUAGC